This is a long non-coding RNA of Manduca sexta (tobacco hornworm), 2150 nucleotides long. RefSeq lists it as uncharacterized. The record is from RefSeq and is a predicted model, not a curated record. The transcript has 2 exons. Lineage: Eukaryota; Metazoa; Arthropoda; Insecta; Lepidoptera; Sphingidae.
CAGAGUAAUAUUGGACAUCAUGAGAUUUGAAGUCCUUCGUCUCAGGAUGGCGAGCGACGUGAAAUGCCAUAGUACUUUAUAAUUCAAAGUUCUGACUGGUCUUGUUAAUUUCUUUGGGUGGUCGUAUCGCUUACUAUCAGGACAACGGCAUUCCAAUCCAAUAAAAAAAAUCACCAAGACAGCAGUUUGCACUCGUUUGUUAUUUUGAUCAUUAUGGUCAUGGAGGUUAACGCCUAUCUGUCGAAUUUCUGCUGCGUUGCCUUACGAAGACACGAGUUCAUGCAAACGAACUGAAGACUUGUGCUGAUUCAUCAUCGUCAGGAAGGGUGGGUGCAGCCUCGGUCAAUUUAUAACUCCGCGAGACGCGUGACGCCUCUCGGACGACGCAACGCAAACUGCAUCCGAGUUCUGACUCCCACUGAUGAAGCGACAAGAAGCUGCUCCGAAAUCAAUAUGCCCUCGAGCCUCGACAUCUCACGAAGCGACGCGCACUGCGCCGAGCAAGAGCGCAGGUGCGAGCAGUUUUAGAGAUGAGGCUUAUUUACAAUACUAGGUUUUAAAACUAGGUCUUUAAAAUACGCGCAUACUGUAAAAAGUGUUCUUAGAUACAAGAAUAUAGAUUUAAGGGUGUAGUUCGUCACCUUCUGGGUCUUCUGGCUCGAUAAUCUUCCGCUUCAGAUUCCAAUAAGGAGUUUCUGUAGUGCUCUUUUUCCACUGUGUUCUUCAGUUGCUUCAUGGGGUAGUUUUCCAGCUCUGCAUCUGCCAUCAUUUUCACGUAGUUCUCAAUAAUGACCACGUGUGCAGAUGUAUCAACCUACGAAAUCUAGAAGUUCUCUCAGUCCAGAGUUUGGUGUUUGGCAUAUGUAAUGAUCGCGUAAUAAAAGUCUGGAUACCUUGCUUGUUAUAACUUAAUGUGGGAUACCUAGUUUUGAACUCUGCUAGUUAGGGGUUUUAUUGCUGGGCCGAAUUCCAAGUAGGCUCUCAAACUAACCGGGAAUCUUCAAGGUUUUACAGUGGAAUUUGAUUGACUUAUCCAUGUAUUUCAUGGCAUACAAUGAGGCAUAUUUCCAAACUGUUUUCACUUGUGUUAAGACCUUGAUCUCAGUUCCUGUUUUCUCUAUGGUUAGCGCUCAGCUGCCGAGCCACGAUUGCACGACGGAGUGAAUCCCUCCCUUCAUGAGGUUUGCCCAGCAGGAUUAUGCUAGGUCAUGCACAAUCUAAAAAAUAUCUGCGGUAUUGAGGUUGGAGACUGCUGUCUUCCAUCCCUUGGAGUAAGCAACGUGAUUUGGGGUUAUGAUGGAUUUUGCGAGAGUGUUCUUCGUUAACAUCUCAUGUCUUAGGUGACAAACUCCGUUCAGUAUAAAACAGUGACUUUAAUUCAGCUCACCGAUUCAUCUCCCAAUCCUGGUGCUACUAUUAGUAAUGCGUGAUCUCAUCGCUUCAGAAUAUCAUUUAUAUCAUUCGAUAUUAAAUCGACCGUCGAGUCGUCGAUUCAUCAUUCAAGUGGAUAAACAAAAUUAUGGAUUCAUUGUUUAUGUUACUUUGUAAUAAAUUUAUUUUACUUUGUAAUAAAUGUGGGGUACACGACCGGAAUCUGAUUUCAGAAAUGUUGUUUAGCCAGUUUUUACUUUAAAGGUUAUAUGAGGAGAAAUAUUUAGUUUCAAAAGAAAAGCGGGACAAUACUGGCGAUAGGAGGUUAAGAAUUGUACGAAAUACCUUUACGUAUACUAUUUACAAAAAUACUGGACUCAAAUACUUGGUAUUCGAGUCAGGUAUUUUUAAGUACUGUUAUUUAAAAGCCCAUAUGCCCCAUCCCUAAUUCCGUUGCACUCCGUAAGCCGCGGGUCACGGCAUGGCGUGCGCCGCCUUUUGUUAUGUAGCCAACUAUCAGGAACGUGGGGAGUCUCGCCUGACAUUUCAGUUACUGUAUGUCAGUACAAUUUUUUCUGUGCUCGCAGAUCUCCGGGACUAAGCAAGAAAUAGAGUACACUCCCAUGUAUGGAAAAUGUUCAAAGUAGCUUAUGGUAUUUAUUUUUUGGAAGACGGAAGCGCUCCACAAAACCAUUUAUGCUAUGUUAGCGAAUCUAUUUUUGUAAUUAUCUUUCGAUUGCACAGCGAAUAAUUCAGUAUUAAACCGUAUUUCAUUUUAA